RNAcentral lists this long non-coding RNA (2143 nucleotides) under Strongylocentrotus purpuratus (purple sea urchin). RNAcentral's name for it is "uncharacterized LOC115929221". Lineage: Eukaryota; Metazoa; Echinodermata; Echinoidea; Camarodonta; Strongylocentrotidae. The record is from RNAcentral.
UGCGGAGCAUGCCAAUUAUCUCACUGAUAACACCGAAAUCGUUUUGAAUAUUCAACGGUCAUCGAAGCACUCACGUUGCCAAGCUCACUUUUUCACCGAAAUUUCUCUCUCUCAUAUCUUCUUUGUUCGUCGGCGGAUUUCGCUCAGACUCUCAGGAAUGAUGUAAAAUGGUCAUAUCGAACUAUAUAUGAAAAAUUGUAUUAAGUGAUGAUCUAUUUAUCAUUUCAUCAAACAUUUCAUGUUCAGUCGUCUCCGAAAACUACCCUCAGAUUAUUAUCAGACACAUCUGGCAAUAUGGCUAUUUAUUCAUGAAACUUAAUAUGCAUAUUCAUGAGACCUUUACGGUGCUGGUGACGAAAUUUUCGCUGUGACCAUCACUUAUUUUCGGAGAUACAAUGGAAAAUGAAUGGGGUGUUUUUCAGAAAUCGAGAAGCAGCAAACUUACGAGAAAAUCGACGUCACCGCUCGAUCAAAGACUCGCGCAUGCGCAUUGACACGAAAUUACGUAAACCUAGCAGACAGCUGAUCGUGAGCACACAUAGCUGCAUUACUAUCCUGGCUGUGUAUUAAAAUCUGUGCUAUUGAUUCUCAACAUUUCAAACACCACUGUACAAUACUCAUCUGAUUCCACUCAAAACAGAUAUACCAGUGACAAUUGAUGAGACCUAAAUAGUAGUAAAAUAUAAUAUAUUUUUUAACUUAAUGAUGUUAAAAAGAAAAAUUAAAAAAUUUAAACCGUGAGUCUACUGUCAAACUUGCCGAUCAACCGCAUCGUAUUUAUUGUGUACGUUCGUUUGUAAUUUGUGUAUAGACUAUUCAUGUGUGCGAUUGCUGCCUCUAGCACGUAGUGCUGCGCUAGAGGUCUACACGCAUUAGCAUUGAUUGCAUGCAGUGAUCGAGAGGUAUUGUUUUGAUUUCAGCCGAGCCGAGUGGAUCUUUGACUUUGUAAAACCCUCUAAAGAAACAAAGAAUAUGUAGGCAGGGCCAUGAAACCUUCAUGUAGCCUUACCUUCAAGUAACCUCCAGCUCCCCUUCUCAACUUCAUGACUUGGCAGAUGUCCUAAUGCAUGAUACACAUUGGUCGAGCAUUGAAGAACGGCCGACACUGCUGGCGGCUGCUGCCGAGCCUGGCCAGGCUGACGUGAUGUGACCUCGUACUUAGUGUUGAAGCUGUCUGGUCGUUCCCUCAGAGUGAUCACAGAUUCUACAUCCCACCAUGGCUCUGUGGAGUGUUCACCAACCCUAGUGCCCAAGCAGAUUUGUCUUCAUGCAACUAGAAUGGCGCUCCCUUAUAGAUGUCAGCAUUGGCUACCAGUGUUCUUCAGUUUGGAUGGUGAUUUCAUAGUGAAGGAGUCAGGAAGCCCGAAAGUAGUGUAAAACUAGCACUCUGGUUACAAUAUGGUACACACGAUAGGGUUAACUUGUACUUAGUACAUUAAUUCCUGGUGUUCCAGAGAAUAGUGCUUUCAAUGCUUACACAAUUUAAAGUAUUUGUUUUAGAAGUUGUGAAUAAGUGAAAAGUUCAGAUAAUUGGCAAUAGACCUGUUUCCUUACAUAUUCAAAUUUAUAUGCAUACUUUUUUAAUUACAUUUGAUGUUGCAUAGUACAACAUUACAUGUAUCAUUGCAACAUUACCUGCAUAUUUUGUGCCUAUUUUCGACUUGGUUAGUCCAUGUCAUACGUGCAUCUUCAUCAUUAUUAUGCAAGUUAUGAACUCCAUGUAGAUUUUCACAUUUCACUUGUUUCCAAUAAUGUUCAUUCAUGUACACAUUUGAACAAUUGCGUGUUAUUGGUGCAUGAUUGAACCAAAGAUGACAGUAAACGUAAAGUAAUGGCUUUCAAAACAGAUUGUUUUAUUAUUUAUACAAAGCUUUAUAUUUAUUGAAGAAGUAUUAGAUGUACAAUGAAAAGUAUGUGAGACAUGGAUAUAAGUAUUUAUUUGAGUCUUUCGUUUUUGUAUACAUGUUAAGUUAAGUAUACAAGUACAUUUAACACACAAAUAUACAGUGUUAUUGCAUUGAAGAAAAAAAAAAAAGCAUUCCUGUUUUGUAUGCAAGUUACAUAAUGGAAGUAUCUUGCCUAUUGUAUCUGAAGUGAAGUGGCAAUUAUAAUAUGCAGAUUGAGAAUUGUUUAUAAAAUGAAA